UAGUCCACGCCGUAAACGAUGGUCACUAGCUGUUCGAACUUCGGUUUGAGUGGCUAAGCGAAAGUGAUAAGCGACCCACCUGGGGAGUACGUUCGCAAGAAUGAAACUCAAAGGAAUUGACGGGGGCCCGCACAAGCGGUGGAGCAUGUGGUUUAAUUCGAUGAUACGCGAGGAACCUUACCAGGGCUUAAAUGUAAGUUGCAUUAGUUAGAGAUAGCUAUUUCUUCGGACCACUUACAAGGUGCUGCAUGGUUGUCGUCAGCUCGUGCCGUGAGGUGUCAGGUUAGGUCCUAUAACGAGCGCAACCCCUAUCAUUAGUUGCCAGCACUUCGGGUGGGGACUCUAAUGAGACUGCCGGCGUAAGCCGCGAGGAAGGUGGGGACGACGUCAAAUCAUCAUGGCCUUUAUGCCUAGGGCGACACACGUGCUACAAUGGUAGGGACAGAGGGUAGCGAAUCAGUGAUGUGGAGCUAAUCUCAAAAACCCUAUCCCAGUUCGGAUUGG
RNAcentral lists this ribosomal RNA (504 nucleotides) under uncultured bacterium. RNAcentral describes it as "bacterial SSU rRNA". It matches the Rfam family "Bacterial small subunit ribosomal RNA", at positions 791 to 1301 of the family's 1533-position model. The record is from RNAcentral.